AAUCCUUCGGGAAUGGGGACAGCGGCGAACGGGUGAGUAACACGUGGGUAAUCUGCCCUCGAUUCUGGGAUAGCCCGGGGAAACCCGGAUUAAUACCGGAUAGCCUCUCGAGCUUACGAGCUCGUGAGAAAAGGUAGCUUCGGCCUCCGAUCGAGGAUGAGCCCGCGGCGGAUUAGCUUGUUGGCGAGGUAAUGGCCUACCAAGGCGACGAUCCGUAGCUGGUCUGAGAGGACGAUCAGCCACACUGGGACUGAGACACGGCCCAGACUCCUACGGGAGGCAGCAGUGGGGAAUCUUGCGCAAUGGGCGAAAGCCUGACGCAGCGACGCCGCGUGGGGGAAGAAGGCCUUCGGGUUGUAAACCUCUUUCAGCAGGGACGAAGCCACUCGGGUUAAUAGCCCAGAGGGUGACGAUACCUGCAGAAGAAGCACCGGCCAACUACGUGCCAGCAGCCGCGGUAAUACGUAGGGUGCAAGCGUUGUCCGGAAUUAUUGGGCGUAAAGAGCUCGUAGGCGGUCUGUCGCGUCGGCUGUGAAAUCCCGAGGCUCAACCUCGGGUCUGCAGUCGAUACGGGCAAACUGGAGUGUUGCAGGGGAGACUGGAAUUCCUGGUGUAGCGGUGAAAUGCGCAGAUAUCAGGAGGAACACCGGUGGCGAAGGCGGGUCUCUGGGCAACAACUGACGCUGAGGAGCGAAAGCGUGGGGAGCGAACAGGAUUAGAUACCCUGGUAGUCCACGCCGUAAACGUUGGGCGCUAGGUGUGGGGCUCAUUCCACGAGUUCCGUGCCGCAGCUAACGCAUUAAGCGCCCCGCCUGGGGAGU
RNAcentral lists this ribosomal RNA (821 nucleotides) under uncultured bacterium. RNAcentral's name for it is "bacterial SSU rRNA". It matches the Rfam family "Bacterial small subunit ribosomal RNA", at positions 74 to 881 of the family's 1533-position model. The record is from RNAcentral.